Molecule: ribosomal RNA, 221 nt
Filed under: uncultured bacterium
Lineage: Bacteria
Description: partial 16S ribosomal RNA
Rfam family: Bacterial small subunit ribosomal RNA
Source: RNAcentral
UACAGAGGGGGCAAGCGUUAUUCGGAAUUAUUGGGCGUAAAGGGCGCGUAGGCGGCUUGGCAAGUGGAUGGUGAAAUCCCUCGGCUUAACCGAGGAACUGCCAUCCAGACUGCUUUGCUUGAGGCCGGGAGAGGUGAGUGGAAUUCCCGGUGUAGAGGUGAAAUUCGUAGAUAUCGGGGAGGAACACCAGUGGCGAAGGCGGCGACCUGGACGGACACUGA